This 87-nucleotide transfer RNA is filed under the name Saprospiraceae bacterium. RNAcentral describes it as "tRNA-Ser". It matches the Rfam family "tRNA". From Rfam's summary of the family: Transfer RNA (tRNA) molecules are approximately 80 nucleotides in length. Their secondary structure includes four short double-helical elements and three loops (D, anti-codon, and T loops). The record is from RNAcentral. Lineage: Bacteria; Pseudomonadati; Bacteroidota; Saprospiria; Saprospirales; Saprospiraceae.
GGAGGAGUGGCCGAGCGGUUGAAGGCACCGGUCUUGAAAACCGGCAGGGUCGAGAGGCCCUCGGGGGUUCGAAUCCCUCCUCCUCCG